RNAcentral lists this ribosomal RNA (2325 nucleotides) under Clostridioides difficile. Its description in RNAcentral is "bacterial LSU rRNA". It matches the Rfam family "Bacterial large subunit ribosomal RNA", at positions 401 to 2745 of the family's 2925-position model. The record is from RNAcentral. Lineage: Bacteria; Bacillati; Bacillota; Clostridia; Peptostreptococcales; Peptostreptococcaceae. RNAcentral also lists the same sequence under 4 other names.
UAUGAUCCAGAGUACCACGGGACACGUGAAACCCUGUGGGAAGCAGGAGGGACCACCCUCCAAGGCUAAAUACUACCUAGUGACCGAUAGCGUAUAGUACCGUGAGGGAAAGGUGAAAAGAACCCCGGGAGGGGAGUGAAAUAGAACCUGAAACCCUGCACUUACAAGCUGUGGAAGCACAUUUCUUGUGUGACCGCGUACUUUUUGUAGAACGGGCCAACGAGUUACGUUAAGUAGCAAGGUUAAGCACUUAAGGUGCGGAGCCGUAGCGAAAGCGAGUUUUAACUGAGCGUUCAGUUACUUGACGUAGACCCGAAACCGGGCGACCUACCCAUGAGCAGGAUGAAGCGAAAGUAAAAUUUCGUGGAGGUCCGAACCCACGAGCGUUGAAAAGCUCGGGGAUGACUUGUGGGUAGCGGUGAAAUUCCAAUCGAGCCCGGAGAUAGCUGGUUCUCCCCGAAAUAGCUUUAGGGCUAGCCUCAAGGUGAGAGAUACGGAGGUAGAGCACUGAAUGUCCUAGGGGGUAUUGCACCUACCGAAGACUAUCAAACUCCGAAUGCCGUCAUCUUAUACUUGGGAGUCAGACUGUGGGUGAUAAGAUUCAUAGUCGAAAGGGCAACAGCCCAGAUCGUCAGCUAAGGUCCCUAAAUGUAAGUUAAGUGGUAAAGGAUGUGGGAUUGCACAGACAACCAGGAUGUUGGCUUAGAAGCAGCCACUCAUUCAAAGAGUGCGUAAUAGCUCACUGGUCGAGUGAUCCUGCGCCGAAGAUUUCCGGGGCUAAAACUUACUACCGAAGCUACGGCAUCAGUAAUGAUGGGUAGGGGAGCUUCCCAUACGGGUUGAAGCAUGACCGUAAGGACAUGUGGACAGUAUGGGAGUGAGAAUGUUGGCAUGAGUAGCGAGAUGUGGGUGAGAAUCCCACAGGCCGUAAACCCAAGGUUUCCAGGGGAAGGUUCGUCCGCCCUGGGUUAGUCGGGACCUAAGCUGAGGCCGAAAGGCGUAGGUGAUGGACAACAGGUUGAUAUUCCUGUACUACCGAUAACCGUUUGAGAGAAGGGAUGACACAGUAGGAUAAGCUAAGCACACUGUUGGUUAUGUGUGCCCAAGCAUUGAGGCAGUCAAAGUAGGCAAAUCCGCUUUGAUAAUGCUGGGAUGUGAUGGGGAGCGAAAUUUAGUAGCGAAGUAGCUGAUUUCACACUGUCAAGAAAAGUCUCUAUCGAGGUUAAAGGUACCCGUACCGCAAACCGACACAGGUGGGUGAGGAGAGUAUCCUAAGGCCAGCGAGAGAACUGUUGUUAAGGAACUCGGCAAAAUGACCCCGUAACUUAGGGAUAAGGGGUGCCACCAUCAGGUGGCCGCAGAGAAUAGGCCCAAGCGACUGUUUACCAAAAACAUAGGUUUCUGCUAAGUCGCAAGACGAUGUAUAGGAGCUGACGCCUGCCCGGUGCUGGAAGGUUAAGGGGAUCUGUUAGAGCAAUCGAAGCAGUGAACUUAAGCCCCAGUAAACGGCGGCCGUAACUAUAACGGUCCUAAGGUAGCGAAAUUCCUUGUCGGGUAAGUUCCGACCCGCACGAAAGGCGUAACGAUUUGGGCACUGUCUCAACAACAGACUCGGUGAAAUUGUAAUUCCGGUGAAGAUGCCGGAUACCUGCGACAGGACGGAAAGACCCCAUGGAGCUUUACUGUAGCUUGACAUUGGGUCUUGGUACUACAUGUACAGGAUAGGUGGGAGGCUUUGAAACCAGGACGCCAGUUUUGGCGGAGCCAUCCUUGGGAUACCACCCUUGUAGUACUGGGACUCUAACCAUAGGCCAUGAAUCUGGUCUUGGGACACUGUCAGGUGGGCAGUUUGACUGGGGCGGUCGCCUCCCAAAAGGUAACGGAGGCGCUCAAAGGUUCUCUCAGUACGGUCGGAAAUCGUACGUAGAGUGUAAAGGCAAAAGAGAGCUUGAUUGCAAGACAUACAGGUCGAGCAAGGAUGAAAAUCGGACUUAGUGAUCCGGUGGUUCUGCGUGGAAGGGCCAUCGCUCAACGGAUAAAAGCUACCCUGGGGAUAACAGGCUUAUCUCCCCCAAGAGUCCACAUCGACGGGGAGGUUUGGCACCUCGAUGUCGGCUCAUCACAUCCUGGGGCUGUAGUAGGUCCCAAGGGUUGGGCUGUUCGCCCAUUAAAGUGGUACGCGAGCUGGGUUCAGAACGUCGUGAGACAGUUCGGUCCCUAUCCGUCGCAGGCGUAGGAAAUUUGAGAAGACCUGUCCUUAGUACGAGAGGACCGGGAUGGACGUACCUCUGGUGUACCAGUUGUCCUGCCAAGGGCAUGGCUGGG